UGGCUCUCGCAUCGAUGAAGAACGCAGCGAAAUGCGAUAAGUAAUGUGAAUUGCAGAAUUCAGUGAAUCAUCGAAUCUUUGAACGCACCUUGCGCCCUCUGGUAUUCCGGAGGGCAUGCCUGUUUGAGUGUCUUGAUAUCAUCAAACCCCUCGGGUUCGCGCCCGUUGCGGUUUGGAGUUGGGGGCUUGCUGCCGCGAGGCGGCUCCCCUUAAAAUCAUCGGUUUGGCCCGCAUCGUGCGGCUUGCACCUUUGGCGUUGUAUUUUCCUCGCCUUUGAUCGGUCUUGCUCGCUUCCGCGCCUCACCUCGACUUGCCCUUUGGGUGGCGGUCACUUCUUGACAAUCUGGCCUCAAAUCAGGUAGGACUACCCGCUGA
This 375-nucleotide unclassified non-coding RNA is filed under the name uncultured fungus. Its description in RNAcentral is "partial contains 5.8S ribosomal RNA and internal transcribed spacer 2". The stretch from base 1 to 133 matches the Rfam family "5.8S ribosomal RNA", at positions 22 to 154 of the family's 154-position model. The record is from RNAcentral. Lineage: Eukaryota; Fungi.